GCAUUAGUAGUUUAGUGGUAAAAUAGGCGCUUGCCAUGCGCCUGCCGGGGGUUCGAUUCCCUCCUAAUGCA
Tilletia walkeri is the source of this 71-nucleotide non-coding RNA. The record is from Rfam. NCBI's taxonomy places the organism in Eukaryota, Fungi, Basidiomycota, Exobasidiomycetes, Tilletiales, Tilletiaceae.